RNAcentral lists this ribosomal RNA (247 nucleotides) under Pseudomonas asplenii. RNAcentral's name for it is "partial 16S ribosomal RNA". It matches the Rfam family "Bacterial small subunit ribosomal RNA", at positions 1297 to 1533 of the family's 1533-position model. Lineage: Bacteria; Pseudomonadati; Pseudomonadota; Gammaproteobacteria; Pseudomonadales; Pseudomonadaceae. The record is from RNAcentral.
AUCGCAGUCUGCAACUCGACUGCGUGAAGUCGGAAUCGCUAGUAAUCGUGAAUCAGAAUGUCACGGUGAAUACGUUCCCGGGCCUUGUACACACCGCCCGUCACACCAUGGGAGUGGGUUGCACCAGAAGUAGCUAGUCUAACCUUCGGGAGGACGGUUACCACGGUGUGAUUCAUGACUGGGGUGAAGUCGUAACAAGGUAGCCGUAGGGGAACCUGCGGCUGGAUCACCUCCUUAAUCGACGACA